GACGAACGCUGGCGGCGUGCUUAACACAUGCAAGUCGAACGAUGAACCCGGAGCUUGCUCUGGGGGAUUAGUGGCGAACGGGUGAGUAACACGUGAGUAACCUGCCCUGGACUCUGGGAUAAGCGUUGGAAACGACGUCUAAUACCGGAUAGGACCUUGGAUCGCAUGAUCUGGGGUGGAAAGUUUUUUCGGUCUGGGAUGGACUCGCGGCCUAUCAGCUUGUUGGUGAGGUAAUGGCUCACCAAGGCGUCGACGGGUAGCCGGCCUGAGAGGGUGACCGGCCACACUGGGACUGAGACACGGCCCAGACUCCUACGGGAGGCAGCAGUGGGGAAUAUUGCACAAUGGGCGAAAGCCUGAUGCAGCAACGCCGCGUGCGGGAUGACGGCCUUCGGGUUGUAAACCGCUUUUAGUAGGGAAGAAGGGCUUCGGCUUGACGGUACCUGGAGAAAAAGGACCGGCUAACUACGUG
RNAcentral lists this ribosomal RNA (472 nucleotides) under uncultured bacterium. Its description in RNAcentral is "partial 16S ribosomal RNA". It matches the Rfam family "Bacterial small subunit ribosomal RNA", at positions 28 to 507 of the family's 1533-position model. The record is from RNAcentral.